This is a long non-coding RNA of Mustela lutreola (European mink), 1667 nucleotides long. RefSeq lists it as uncharacterized. NCBI's taxonomy places the organism in Eukaryota, Metazoa, Chordata, Mammalia, Carnivora, Mustelidae. The transcript has 3 exons. The record is from RefSeq and is a predicted model, not a curated record.
UCCAGGGGAAAUCUAAGGCCCAGAAAGAGGAAGAGGCUGUUCCCUGAGGCUGAGGGAAGUGUUAUUAUGGAUUCUGUUCACCUCUGAAGCUUCUGGAACUUGGGAGAAGUCUCAGUAAAGGGGAAGCCCGUGGAGAACCUGGAACACUGUCGUGAUGAUUCUGACCCUUGGUACUCUUCUCUCCAUUCUCACAGCCAAAGAUCUGAGGAGGAUUUGUGCUUUUUGAAGCAAAAUGAUUCGGGUAAUUCUGAUGCACUCAAGAAAAGUCUUCUCAGAAAACAAAAGAAGACAUGUUCUUCCCCUUCAGAUUAAGCAAUCCUAGGGAAUGAUCUCAAAGGCUUCAUUUUAUUGGUACAAUUAAUCACUGGCCGUUCUUUCCGAUGACUCAUGCACAUUGGGAUUUGGAAAUUUCUUGGUCCGCUUGGGAAUACGUUGCCUUCGCUGCUGGGAGGCCAGAGGAGCCUCCCUGCUGACUUCAGACCCUAGAAGCUCUGAGGUCAGUGAUGACGACCAGGAGAAAGCAGGAGGAAGAGAAAGGGCGCCUUCUAGUUGCCAGGAUGGAGCCGAUCAGAAGCCCAGAUAUCUCCCUCCUGCCUCAGACCACCCAACAGAUGCCCCAUGACGAGCACAGUUAUCAGGAUGAGCACUGAACAAUGUGGACAAUUGCUGAACCGCUAUGCUGCACACCUGAAGCUAAUAUAAUACUGGAAUUAAAAUUGUCUUUUUUUUAAAGAUUUUAUUUAUUUAUUUGUCAGAGAGAUCACAAUUAGGCAGAGAAGCAGGCAGAGAAAGGGGGGAAAGCAGGCUCCCUGCUGAGUAGAGAGCCCAAUGUGGGGCUCGAUCCCAGGACCCCGAGAUUAUGACCUGAGCCGAAGGCAGAGGCUUAACCCAUUGAGCCACCCAGGCGCCCCUAAAAUUGUUUUGAAAAGGUACUUUGAGGCAGUCUAGGACCAAGGAAAAGGCAGGCCUGGGGGGCUCUUGCCCUGUUCUUAAUUUAGUGGUUCCCAUGCUUUACACUCAGGCAAUGCAGAGCUGUUGGCUGAGGGCAGAAGAGAGACUGGGACAUACAGAUGGGUCGGUUACGUUUAUGUAUUUGAGGGAUUACUCCAGAGUGUCACACCUUCUUUGAAAUCAGAGAUGGAAGAGUCUCACAGAGGGGCCACCGCAGACCUUCUGCCUCAAGACACCAGACAGUAAGGCUGUUUUGUGUUGUUUCCUUUCAGAGGUAACCCCCACACACAACUGCAGUUGCCGCUUACAGAAAGCAAGCUAAGCUUUCUUCUGAGCUAAAAGGACCCAGUGGGUUAACGCUCUGCUUUCAGCUUAGGUCAUGACCUCAGGAUACUGGGAUCAAGCCCCACGUCAGGCUCUCUGCUCAGCAUAGAACCUUCCUUCCCCUUUCUCUCUGCCUACUUGUGAUCUCUCUCUGUGUCAAAUAAAUAAAUAAAAUAUUUUUUAAAAAAUAAAAGGGGGCACCUGGGUGGCUCAGUGGUUAAGCGUCUGCCUUCGGCUCAGGUCAUGAUCUCAGGGUCCGGGGAUGGAGCCCCGCAUCAGGCUCUCUUCCCUUCCUCUCUCUCUCUUCCUGCCUCUCUGCCUACUUGUGAUCUCUGUCAAAUAAAUAAAUAAAAUCUUAAAAAAAAAUUUUUUUUUAAUUAAAAAAAAUAAAA